RNAcentral lists this long non-coding RNA (967 nucleotides) under Homo sapiens (human). RNAcentral describes it as "PREDICTED lncRNA (TCONS_00154255)". The record is from RNAcentral. Lineage: Eukaryota; Metazoa; Chordata; Mammalia; Primates; Hominidae.
CACUAUUUGAAGAAGGUGCUUGCUUUCCCUUCUCUCUUUUGCCAUGAUUGAAAGUUUCCUGAAGCCUCCCCAGCUAUGCUUCCUGUACAACCUGUGGAACUAGGAAAUUUGUUUUGCAACAGAAAACAUAAGAAAUUUUCCCUGCUUGGAAGAUACUCAUACAUACCAGAAACAAGUCAACAUUUUGAUUUCAAACAUCAAAAAAGGUGUCCAGAAAUCUCAAGAAUUUGAGACAUCCUAAGGAACUUUAAGUGCUGUGAGCCACAAGUAACAUCAAGAAAAGACAGGGAUGAAGAACCGCACUUACAAGCUAAGUAAGAUUAAACCCAGCAUGGAGAUAUAUGAAUUAAUAUGAACUCUGAGAAAGAAAUUGGUCAGCUAAAAAAUAUAUGGCUUUCCUGAAUAGACAAAAGAACAAAGAUUUUCCCUUUGAGAUUCGGCAGGAAGCUUGCACCGAGUGAAGGAUUUAUAAAGAUUAUAGGAGAUAACACAAAGCUAUUUUAUCUCUUUAAAAAAAAUCAAAGGUGUAAGCUCAUCCUACACAUGUCAUUUGGACCAGACCAAGGCUGCUGUCAUGGAGGACCCACACCACAGCUUGGGAACCAUUCAUCUACCAGAGGGUCACAUGACUUCAAAUGACUCUUCUAGGGGCCACCUGCCAUGAUAGGGUACCAGCUCUUCCUCUGAAUUCCCAAUCCAUUUCUUGAGAACUACUGUUUCUAAUAAGAGGGGAAGAAGGUCAUGUGGGAAUCAGUUAAAUCACGUGUGGAUAGAAGACAAGUUCCAGCUUUGUGGGAAAUCCUGUAGCCUUCGCCAGGUACACCCUGACAAUCUCAGAACUGAUCAGAGUUUUUGUUCCAUGUGAGAUACCCACGCCACUUUAAAAAACAAACUAUCCUGACAUCUAAUUACUUUGUGAAUGAUUGUAAUGGCAAUAACAAUAGAGAUGGAAGAAUUUUGGAAACAA